RNAcentral lists this transfer RNA (87 nucleotides) under Mycobacterium cookii. RNAcentral's name for it is "tRNA-SeC". Lineage: Bacteria; Bacillati; Actinomycetota; Actinomycetes; Mycobacteriales; Mycobacteriaceae. The record is from RNAcentral.
GCGUCGGUGGCCGGGGGCGGCACCGUCUUCACCGCGGGGAUUGUGCUGGCGGUGAUGAUCCUGCCGAUCAUCACAGCAGUGACCCGC